CUUCUGUGAGUCUACACUUUCAUUAAGAAAAGAGAGUACCCACAAAGCAAGAUGACAACUUUGUUCAUGUUAAACUGUUGCAGUUCAGAUGUGCCACUCUCAGCCUCCCUUCAGCAGGAUGCAGUUAACAACCAUGCUGACAAGGAGCGUUGGAGUUGCGGGAAGUACUCUGCGGUGCAGCCUUGGAGCACACUGCUUCCUGCAGUGCAAGAGGCACACAGCCAGCAGGCAGGUGACCCCGACCUCACCGCCUCCAGAUGGAAAGAGCGGGAACGAUGAGGCGAGAAGCGAGAGCGGCGGGAAGCGAAAACGGCGGGAAGAGAGAGACACGUUCUGCGCUCCUAUUGGCUGGCGGGCGGCGGGGACACCUAUAUAAGGCUCACGGGGAAAUGCAAACUCCUUACAGCGUGACAGGAAUCCCACUGCUCUGAGGAAAAGACGGCAAGCGGCAUCCCGGGCUGAGGAGCUCCCGCAGAAGACGGCGGAAGAAGCCACGUGUGGAACCGGGCGGCAGGAGGAUGCAAGCAGAGGGAGCAAGAAGAGGAAGCAGAAGACUGCGGCUGGGCUAAGGGAGAGGCGGCCUGGGCAAAAGCAUCUCCCUGUCACCAGGGGCAUAGUCAUGUCGCAGUAGAGCG
This 635-nucleotide long non-coding RNA is filed under the name Gallus gallus (chicken). Its description in RNAcentral is "lncRNA (ENSGALG00010015548.1)". The record is from RNAcentral. Lineage: Eukaryota; Metazoa; Chordata; Aves; Galliformes; Phasianidae.